RNAcentral lists this ribosomal RNA (562 nucleotides) under uncultured bacterium. RNAcentral describes it as "partial 16S ribosomal RNA". It matches the Rfam family "Bacterial small subunit ribosomal RNA", at positions 355 to 1375 of the family's 1533-position model. The record is from RNAcentral.
UGGGGAAUAUUGGACAAUGGGCGCAAGCCUGAUCCAGCCAUGCCGCGUGAGUGAUGAAGGCCCUAGGGUUGUAAAGCUCUUUCAGCGAGGAGGAUAAUGACGUUACUCGCAGAAGAAGCCCCGGCUAACUUCGUGCCAGCAGCCGCGGUAAUACGAAGGGGGCUAGCGUUGUUCGGAAUCACUGGGCGUAAAGCGCACGUAGGCGGACUUUUAAGUCAGGGGUGAAAUCCCGGGGCUCAACCUCGGAACUGCCUUUGAUACUGGAAGUCUGGAGUCCGAGAGAGGUGAGUGGAACUCCGAGUGUAGAGGUGAAAUUCGUAGAUAUUCGGAAGAACACCAGUGGCGAAGGCGGCUCACUGGCUCGGUACUGACGCUGAGGUGCGAAAGCGUGGGGAGCAAAACAGGAUUAGAUACCCUGGUAGUCUACGCCGUAAACGAUGGAAGCUAGCCGUCAGGGUGCAUGCAUCUUGGUGGUGCAGUUAACGCAUUAAGCUUCCCGCCUGGGGAGUACGGUAGCAAGAUUAAAAACUCAAAUGAAUUGACGGGGUCAUAGCUGUUUCCU